Molecule: long non-coding RNA, 556 nt
Organism: Carassius auratus (goldfish)
Lineage: Eukaryota; Metazoa; Chordata; Actinopteri; Cypriniformes; Cyprinidae
Exons: 3
Source: RefSeq, a predicted model, not a curated record
CAUUACAGCAGUGCAUAGAAACUGAGUCAGAGACUCAAAGAAAGAGACAGAACUGCACAGAACCACUGCAGCUCAACAAUCAAAAAUUCUUAAGUAGAAAAAAGCACAAAGCCCUGACCACUCAUCCCUAGAGGAUACAACCCAGACCAGACAACCCCAAGGGGGAACCCAUCCUUCCCCCACAGACCCUGCAGCAGGACGGCAACUUGCCAUAGGUGUGGAUAUCCCCAGGCAUGCGGACGCAGAGGCAGUUUUGGUGCCCUCAAGCUGCCACAGCAUCUGCCAGCAUUACAGUGAUUUACACAUUGCCGGUGGCCAGGUGCUGCCACUCAGGCCCAGCACAUUGGAGGUACAGGGCAAUCUCAUUCAGGACCCUGAGCAUGGGCCCUUCCUCCUGUCUGGGGAUGUUCCCUUCCCCUCCCUCCUGCCUCCUCUGGUCCACGGGAACAGGAAUUCAAGAUUCGGUCAUCACUCUGAGGAACCAGCCUGUGUUUCAACUUCAACAUCCCAGCAGUGAGAGCCAGAGUCAAAGCCCUGUGAGCACACAACACAUGCG